RNAcentral lists this ribosomal RNA (494 nucleotides) under uncultured bacterium. RNAcentral describes it as "partial 16S ribosomal RNA". It matches the Rfam family "Bacterial small subunit ribosomal RNA", at positions 28 to 507 of the family's 1533-position model. The record is from RNAcentral.
GACGAACGCUGGCGGCGUGCUUAACACAUGCAAGUCGAACGGUGAAGCGCCUUCCUUUUUGGUGGGUGUGGAUGAGUGGCGAACGGGUGAGUAACACGUGAGUAACCUGCCCCCUUCUUCUGGAUAACCGCAUGAAAGUGUGGCUAAUACGGGAUAUUCUGGGUCUGUCGCAUGAUGGGUCUGGGAAAGAUAUUGUUUCGGUGGGGGAUGGGCUCGCGGCCUAUCAGCUUGUUGGUGGGGUGAUGGCCUACCAAGGCGGUGACGGGUAGCCGGCCUGAGAGGGUGGACGGUCACACGGGGACUGAGACACGGCCCAGACUCCGACGGGAGGCAGCAGUGGGGAAUAUUGCACAAUGGGCGCAAGCCUGAUGCAGCGACGCCGCGUGAGGGAUGGAGGCCUUCGGGUUGUGAACCUCUUUCGCCAGUGAAGCAGGCCUGCCUCGUUUGUGGGUGGGUUGACGGUAGCUGGAUAAGAAGCGCCGGCUAACUACGUG